UUUCUCUCAGGAUAGGUAUAAGCAAAAAAU
Molecule: non-coding RNA, 30 nt
Filed under: Mus musculus (house mouse)
Lineage: Eukaryota; Metazoa; Chordata; Mammalia; Rodentia; Muridae
Source: RNAcentral